UACAGAGGGGGCAAGCGUUGUCCGGAAUUAUUGGGCGUAAAGAGCUUGUAGGCGGUUUGUCGCGUCUGCUGUGAAAUUUCGGGGCUCAACCCCGAACUUGCAGUGGGUACGGGCAGACUAGAGUGUGGUAGGGGAGACUGGAAUUCCUGGUGUAGCGGUGAAAUGCGCAGAUAUCAGGAGGAACACCGGUGGCGAAGGCGGGUCUCUGGGCCGAUACUGACGCUGAGGAGCGAAAGCGUGGGGAGCGAACAGG
This 253-nucleotide ribosomal RNA is filed under the name uncultured bacterium. RNAcentral describes it as "partial 16S ribosomal RNA". It matches the Rfam family "Bacterial small subunit ribosomal RNA", at positions 524 to 776 of the family's 1533-position model. The record is from RNAcentral.